AAAGUAAUACUAUAUUUCUUACAAAAACCUCGAUGAUUUCUUCUUCACCAUUUCUUUUCUUUCUCUUCUUCUCUCGCUAGUUUACUAUCUCUCUCUCUAUUUCUUCUAAACCUUGAAAAAUAGAAGAAAUAGAAGUUUAGAGAGGAAAGGAAGGGGGCAAUUUAUAGAAUUUUAGAACUAUUAGAUUCACGACAAAUGGUAAAAUCAGAUGAAGAGAGAGGAGAAAAAUAUUCUUGGAAUAAAAAACUAGGGAGGAAAUUUUUGUCCACUAGUGGUGGCGGCGUACCGCCCAAGGCUGCGGCAGUCCCUACCUGAGGUGGCAGAGCCUUACCAGUGCGCUGUAGGCUAGCCUGCACGCGUGCAGGCCUCAGGCGCACAGGGCCUAUCUGUGCAGGCCUGCUGUGCGGAUGACGCGUGCCCAGUGUGCUGAAGAAGUGGUGGCAAAGGUCCCUAUUUAUAGAAAAAGGAAAUCCUUGGAUUUUUGGUAAGUGACGCAAAUCCAUGAGGAGAGAGGGAGGAAAAAAGUGACCGAUGCGACGUGACAACUAACAUACAUGACUGAUAGACUGCUGAUAAGAUGAUGUGACGGUGGCAUGAAGACCAAAGCACGCUGGCUGAGGGACGACGCACGCCUCCCAAACAGAGGUGGCGCGCAGGCUGAAGAUAGCGCACGCACCCCAAAGGGCAACGCACAUGACCCAAGCUU
This 706-nucleotide long non-coding RNA is filed under the name Carica papaya (papaya). RNAcentral's name for it is "long non-coding RNA (CPAP_LNC013181)". The record is from RNAcentral. Lineage: Eukaryota; Viridiplantae; Streptophyta; Magnoliopsida; Brassicales; Caricaceae.